UACGAAGGGGGCGAGCGUUGUUCGGAUUUACUGGGCGUAAAGGGCGCGCAGGCGGUCAUUUUUGUCGAGUGUGAAAGCCCCGAGCUUAACUUGGGAAUUGCGCUCGAAACUACGUGGCUGGAGUGUGGCAGAGGAAGGUGGAAUUCCACGUGUAGCGGUGAAAUGCGUAGAGAUGUGGAGGAACACCGAUGGCGAAGGCAGCCUUCUGGGCCAACACUGACGCUCAUGCACGAAAGCGUGGGGAUCAAACAGG
Molecule: ribosomal RNA, 253 nt
Filed under: uncultured bacterium
Lineage: Bacteria
Description: partial 16S ribosomal RNA
Rfam family: Bacterial small subunit ribosomal RNA
Source: RNAcentral